Long non-coding RNA from Solenopsis invicta (red fire ant), 4917 nucleotides. RefSeq lists it as uncharacterized. The record is from RefSeq and is a predicted model, not a curated record. NCBI's taxonomy places the organism in Eukaryota, Metazoa, Arthropoda, Insecta, Hymenoptera, Formicidae. The transcript has 6 exons.
UCGCAGGCUUCCGAUACGCGACUGCGCGGUGAAUUUAUUCGAUAUCCCCCUUUUCGCAUAACUGGGUUAGUCUCUCUCGAUGCACUAGUUUAACUAAUUUAAGGAUGCCACGAGAUGCCUCGUGCACGACGACUAAUGUCAACCGUCGUCACUCAACGCGAACGAGCGGCCGGGUGCGGGCGGAUGGACGGAUGGAUAGAUGGAUGGACGAACGGGCGGACAUACGUCGACGUAAUAUCGACGUGCGCGCUGUUGCUCACUUCCGAGGGAUGCGACGGUGCAGCGGUGAUGCACGAGAUGCGAUUAUUAACUCGCGAAGAAUUCUACGGGCGCUCAUUCUCAGGGGAGCCGCGGAAGCAUUCGGCUUCCUCGAGAUUUUUCACGCGCCGGCGUACCAAAGCGCCUCUUUAGACUUUCAGAUUUCAAAGAACAAUCAUACAAUCUCUCGCAAUAACGCAAAUAGAGAAAUAACGUGCGAAACGUAAUCUACAUCCACCGCUUCUCACUUUACAAUCAAUUUCAACGAUUGAAUUAUUGUCAGGCUAUUAUGCGCCUGUGUCGAGAAGGGAGAGAGAAAGAGAGAGAGAGAGACUUGUCUACAUGCUACUAAUGACAACGACUUAUAAAUAGAAUGUGAAAUGCAUCCCACGCGAGUGCUUACGUCACGAAACGUCGCCUGUCCGUUCAAGGACUAAAGACCGAUCGUGUCGAGUGUGGAUUGCAGAUAUUAUUUAAUUAGACUUUCCACCUUAACUGGGAAAAAAAAGAACGAAACGUCGAUGUGUAUCGUCAUUGUCUCAUGGCUUUUUUUUCCAAAUUACAGAUUGCCUGCAUAUUUUGAGGCGUGAAACAAUCCAGCGAUCGUACGCUUGGUACCAACGGACGCUGAGAUUUGCGCAAUGUGAAAUUGUACAUGACAAACGUUCGCCACCCCCUCGGCCAGACGGAGAACCACUGUACCACCACGGUUAGACUACACACUACGUAACGGUUGGAUAGUAAGUGUGUUGGUCUCGACGGCGUGGGUGGUACGUAGAGCAACGGCAAUGUGCCAACCGUGAGAGAGGCAGCCAUGAAUGAAAGUGCCGCGUAUCGAUUUAUCUGCGCCGCCCUACAUACGAAAUAUGAUAAAUAGAGAGUGCCUCUCUACCGAUUUGUAUACUGACACUUGGAAUCACCACGUCAUCCAGGCGUAUUCAUCUCUCUCAUUCUCGUCUCGGUUCCCAGUUACGUGUUAAUUGAGGUGCAGCAAUCAUUAUCUCGCGUAUCUAAUACGGGUGUAAUGAGAUUAGAUCAGAGUUAUUUCAAUGAGAGCACAAUGGCGAGGGAGAGUGGAGAAGACAUUAUGUUUCGCAAUGUCAGAUAGACGAGCGAUAGAAUUAAUUGUGAGAAAAUUCGGGAGCGAAAUGCGCAAAAAAUGGGAAAAAUUCAACAAUCAGAUGUGGAAUUUCGCGAUCGUGUGUAAUCGACGCGAACAAGCGCGGACUAUCGACUUCGUCUGUAACAGCACUAAACGCGUCACCGUUCAAAACGAUUCGAUGUGGCGCCAUUAUUCAUUCAUGCGAGCUGCCUCUACGUCAAUGACUGAGAACCAUUUCGAGCUACCGUGCCGAUUUAAUGAUCAUUAAUAUGCAAAUUUAGCGGUUUUGAGGAUCUUGGAUCUUGGAAGGAAUCCAAAAAUUGGAAAAUUUUGAACAGCAACGAGUUAGAAGCCGUCGUGAUCGAAGCAACUACAGCGUCAACGUCAAGCGCAAGUUAUCGACCACUUUAUACUCGAUGCUGAUAAGACCGUAUCAAUCUUAUCGCGCAAAACGAUACCGCGUACCACUGUAUCCCUGAAUAUGUAAAAUCAAUUUCUUCGCGAGAGAGACUACCUACGCGAAUUCGUUCGGGCCGGCGACGGCCGCCAUCGCGCUGAUCGGACCGCGAGACCGUCACCUCGCGUGAGAGACCGACGGCGAGGACAUGGACGGACGCUCUACGCGCAUCUAGAUGUCAAAGACGAUUUUUCUUUCAAGACUUACCUGGGUCAUGAGAGAGGCGGAAUCUUCAUGCUCGCGGUGAGAUACGCUGCUGUGGCGGUAAGAGGGUGCAGCAGCGCGGUGGCAGCGACAACGGCGGCGGCGAGGUCGGCAGCGGGUCGGGGUCGGCGGUGGCGGCAGCGGCAGCGGUGGCAGCGUCGGCUGGUACUGGUGCUGGUUCUGGUGCUGCUCGCGCGAAAUCGGCGUCGCGCGGAUGUUCGCGUCUCAUCGCGCCGCCGAACGGAUUCCUCUCACAUCGCCCCGCGUCGUUGAUCCUCGCCUUUACUCCCUUUUCCACUCUUUCCUCUUCUUCCCUUUUUGUUUGCUCACACGAUUUUCACACACGGAGUACUCGCGCGACGGAAGGGUGUGUUACGCGCACGAUGGACGCGCGUUUCGCGAAGAAUCGAGCCGACCGACCGACCCUCCGACAAUGGCUGCGGUUCCGCUAGGGGUUGAAGGGAGCACGCGCGAGCGAGGCAACGCGACGCGACGCGACGCGGGCGUCGCUGUGACGCAUUACCAGCGUAAGAGGGAGGAAAGGGCGGAGGAGAGAGUGGGUGUAAUGAGAUACGUUUCUCCUGCCAGCUGCGGGUGGAUGGGCGAGCGUAGGUAGAUGCGCGAGAAAUGUGUGGCUCGCGGUAUCUAUAGAGAACUUAUAAUAGAGAACGUCUCCGUGGAGAACGUCUCUGCGAUUGCACAUUUGUAGUAUCCUUGUACGUCCUCGUGACGCGUCACAGACGUCAAAGGGAGUUGCGAGCAAUGAGUAUAUAAAGAGAUACAUGCGGCGCUCGCACGUGCGGUGACAGUCUCGUACGUUAGAUCUGAUUGCCUCUUGUAAAAAAACUGAAACUUUUCUUUUUAAACACGAAAUUGAUCACGGUUUUAAUUUACGAUUGUUUAAAAAGAGAUUUUUAUGAAUCUAGUUUUAGAGACCGCUUCAGCAACUCUGAUUAACUUAAAGAAAUUAGUCGACUAAACUUACUAACAGUUAACUAUAAAACUGAAAACUGACCGUAUUAUUUCAUUCACCUUAUACAUUUUCUGCAAAUAAUAAUUUAUUUAAGUAAAAUAUAAUAUUUAAUUAAUAAUUUUUUUUAAUUAAAAUAAUUAAAAAAUUAAUUUAGGGAUGAUCAGUUUGCAGUUUUGCAGUUGACAAUUUAUAAAUUUUUUCAGUCUAUUGUAAAGUUAAUCAGUCUAUUGGAGUCAAGAAGACCGGCCCUUAAUUCGAUAGAAGGUAUUACCGUGGGAUCAAAAAGUAGCAAACUAUACAUACGAAUAAUCCACAGUGGAUUACUUAAAGUCAAAGGAUAGCUUUGUACAAUGGCCUGAUCGUCCUGAGAUCGACGGACAUGAGCAACGGUGCCGCUAAUAUAGCCCAGAUUGCCAUUUGUGUUUUACUUUGGUCGUAACUUAAACCGAAGUUGCCGAUGAUCAACAUGUCUGGAUCAUUCCAGCGCCCAGGACCGGCCCAGGGCAUGAGCGUGUCCUGAUUAUCACCGUAGUAAUCGAUGAUACUCUCUACGCUGGCCCAGGAAUCCUGGAUGUCGUGGUAGUUACGCCAGAGAUUGCAGGUUUGCGCAAUUGCGGCAUAGUUCGGCUGAAAAUUCGAUGAACUUCAUUGAUUGGAAGAAAUAGAUCAGGAAGAAAUAAAUGAGACCAAAAUGCAUCGACACUCACUUCUAUACGAGCAUAAAUUUGGUAGACAGGCCAACUGCAAGAAUAUACCAUAGGCCUUCCAGUUUGAUUGAGGAAGCAAACGUGACAGCAUCUCCAGUCAAGUGGCCCAAUAUACCUGGAAAUCCAGCGCAGAUUGUUGAAGCUCACCUUAUACAAUUAUCUGGAUCGUUCUUGCAAUCGACGUUGCACCUGAAUCUUUCCCACGCCAACCAUCCCAUUGGAGGUGUUCUGGCUAAGCCAUUCUCCAGCGCUGGAACUACAGUGACCAGCGAUAGGAGAAGGACUACGGUUUGCGCGGCAUCCUGUAGAAAGUAAAUAGGAUAACGAGUGUACCGGCAUAAUCCAAGGGUGCGGAGCGGAGCAGGAUUCCCGUGAGAAAACAGUCGACGGUGAAGUCAGAGUCUGUUAACCAGCAGGAACGACGCAAGGUAUACACGUGUUAUGACGAGACGUGUCUUCCGUACUGAUCUGGGGAUCGAUCGAAUAUUUUAAAACCUAGAGAAAAUUAUAAAAGUGAAUUGUCACUUGAUUGGAUAACUUUCAUCUCGUAAUGUCUCGCAGAAUUGUUGACCGGUAUCAUCAUAGGCUCGCGCGUUUACAAUUUGCAUCUCCUUUCCCCUCCGCGCCAUUUUUCAAUAUGAUACGUUUUCGAAGGACGAAUCAAAACGAUAAAAUUUAAAUGAAUUUAUAAUCAAUUCAAGAGGCCCGUUUUAGUCUCUUGAAGAAAUUUUUUUUAACGCAAAGAGAAGGACAGCCAAUUUACGAACAAAUUAAAAGAUCUUAUGCAAAAUUUGCACAUAACUAUCCCUACUUAAAACUGAUUUGAAAAAUUUAAACCGCAUGAUUUAAUAACAAAUUUUUUUAUAUCCUUCGCAAAAGGAUAUUUGACGAAUCUCUUAUUAGGUGCCACCUAGAAAUUCGGUACGUCUUGUAAAUAGAAAUCUGCAGUGAAUUAAAUGGCACACGCGAAUGUGCGAAUAACGCAAGCUUCUCGCAACUCAGUACCGAGCGAUUGGCUUUAUAUGCAAUAAAUGCUCUCGUAUAACGUAAGGAGGGAAUAUAAUAAAAAAAAAAAAGUGAAAAUAACAUAUCUUUUGUCUGCCACGUGUCGCGCGAGUGUUAUUUUAUUGCAGCGCGCUCGUAUAUACGUGUCCUAUAUAUAUGAAACGACUUAUGGAUGUGUCCAUUCUAUAAAUAUAUGCGAACAUUUCUGCUA